This is a long non-coding RNA of Hippocampus comes (tiger tail seahorse), 310 nucleotides long. RefSeq lists it as uncharacterized. The transcript has 2 exons. The record is from RefSeq and is a predicted model, not a curated record. NCBI's taxonomy places the organism in Eukaryota, Metazoa, Chordata, Actinopteri, Syngnathiformes, Syngnathidae.
GCGCGCACACACACACACACACGCACACACACUUUGUCGAGUGAGUUUUGGAGUGAGCGAACUGGUUUUUCGGGGGAAAUUCAACGCGGAACACAGAGAACGUGAACACACAGCAAGUGCGUCGCUCGCCAGACAUCUACCUUUAAAAGAAGCAAAGGCUGCUCUGAGAGGACAAAAAUGGAGGCGAUGAUGAAGGGACUGAACAAAGCCAAGGAAGGAGUGGUGGUAGCGGCGACCAAGACCAAGCAAGGAGUGAGUGGCGCGGCUGAGAUCACUAAAGACGGAGUCCUCUACGUCGGUGGGUCCCCCA